GAAAUGCGAUAAGUAAUGUGAAUUGCAGAAUUCAGUGAAUCAUCGAAUCUGUGAACGCACCUUGCGCUCCUUGGUAUUCCUUGGAGCAUGCCUGUUUGAGUAUCAUGAAAUCUUCAAAGUAAAUCUUUUGUUAACUCAAUUGGUUUCUACUUUGGUAUUGGAGGUCUUUGCAGCUUCACACCUGCUCCUCUUUGUUCAUUAGCUGGAUCUCAGUGUUAUGCUUGGUUCCACUCGGCGUGAUAAGUUAUCUAUCGCUGAGGACACUGUAAAAGGUGGCCAAGGUAAAUGCAGAUGAACCGCUUCUAAUAGUCCAUUGACUUGGACAAUACUUUUAUGAUCUGAUCUCAAAUCAGGUAGGACUACCCGCUGAACUUAAGC
RNAcentral lists this unclassified non-coding RNA (378 nucleotides) under plant metagenome. Its description in RNAcentral is "partial contains 5.8S ribosomal RNA, internal transcribed spacer 2, and large subunit ribosomal RNA". The stretch from base 1 to 105 matches the Rfam family "5.8S ribosomal RNA", at positions 50 to 154 of the family's 154-position model. The record is from RNAcentral.